UACGUAGGUGGCAAGCGUUAUCCGGAAUUACUGGGCGUAAAGCGCACGCAGGUGGUUUGCUAAGAUUGACGUGAAAGCGCCUGGCUUAACUGGGCGAGGUCGUUGAUGACUGGCAGACUUGAGGCGAGGAGAGGGGUGUAGAAUUCCCGGUGUAGUGGUGGAAUGCGCAGAUAUCAGGAGGAACACCGAUGGCGAAGGCAGACCUCUGGGCCGUAACUGACGCUGAGGAGCGAAAGCAUGGGGAGCGAACAGG
Molecule: ribosomal RNA, 253 nt
Filed under: uncultured bacterium
Lineage: Bacteria
Description: partial 16S ribosomal RNA
Rfam family: Bacterial small subunit ribosomal RNA
Source: RNAcentral